UAGGGAAUCUUCGGCAAUGGACGGAAGUCUGACCGAGCAACGCCGCGUGAGUGAAGAAGGUUUUCGGAUCGUAAAGCUCUGUUGUAAGAGAAGAACGAGUGUGAGAGUGGAAAGUUCACACUGUGACGGUAUCUUACCAGAAAGGGACGGCUAACUACGUGCCAGCAGCCGCGGUAAUACGUAGGUCCCGAGCGUUGUCCGGAUUUAUUGGGCGUAAAGCGAGCGCAGGCGGUUAGAUAAGUCUGAAGUUAAAGGCUGUGGCUUAACCAUAGUACGCUUUGGAAACUGUUUAACUUGAGUGCAAGAGGGGAGAGUGGAAUUCCAUGUGUAGCGGUGAAAUGCGUAGAUAUAUGGAGGAACACCGGUGGCGAAAGCGGCUCUCUGGCUUGUAACUGACGCUGAGGCUCGAAAGCGUGGGGAGCAAACAGGAUUAGAUACCCUGGUAGUCCACGCCGUAAACGAUGAGUGCUAGGUGUUAGACCCUUUCCGGGGUUUAGUGCCGUAGCUAACGCAUUAAGCACUCCGCCUGGGGAGUACGAAANACAAGGUUG
This 551-nucleotide ribosomal RNA is filed under the name uncultured bacterium. Its description in RNAcentral is "bacterial SSU rRNA". It matches the Rfam family "Bacterial small subunit ribosomal RNA", at positions 355 to 896 of the family's 1533-position model. The record is from RNAcentral.